This 1119-nucleotide long non-coding RNA is filed under the name Rattus norvegicus (Norway rat). Its description in RNAcentral is "long non-coding RNA NONRATT011048". Lineage: Eukaryota; Metazoa; Chordata; Mammalia; Rodentia; Muridae. The record is from RNAcentral.
AAACACCACAGAGAUACACUGGACUCCGUGAGUACCAGCUGGGGGCUUGCUUUGGGAGGGAGUUGAUGGCAGGCAGUACUAGGCCCCGGUCCUACUGUCCCUCACCUAUAGGUUGGGGAAACUCCCAGGUAGAGCUAAUCUUAGGUGAUGGGAACAGGGCACCAGAAGUGACAGCUCUUGGUAGAACUGCCAGCAGGUCUGGGAAGGAGCCCGAGGCCUCUGGCUGCUAUGCUGCCAUUUCCACAGGUACCGGGCCAUGUACCAGUACAGACCCCAGAAUGAAGAUGAGCUGGAACUUCGUGAGGGAGACCGUGUGGAUGUCAUGCAGCAGUGUGAUGAUGGCUGGUUUGUGGGUGUCUCCCGGAGAACUCAGAAAUUUGGGACAUUCCCUGGAAAUUAUGUAGCCCCGGUGUGAAUGGUCUCCAUGGCAGUAUGGAGCCAACGAGGAUCGGGUGGGGAGCAGUAGCACUAUGGGAGGGAGAGAGGCCCUCCAUAUCCUCCUCCCCCAGGACCUAUGCUCCCAGCUUCUGCAGAAACCCCAGCAACUUUUCCUCCAAGCCUCCUUGAAGUCCCCUGGACUGAUUCCCACCCGCAAGUCACAGGCAUUCCUUUGACAGCCCCCUUCACCGCCCCUCAAAUACAGACAUCUGCUUUCAUGUGGAGACUGUCUCCAGGCCUUAUUGAGACCAGACCCCCCCAAGCCUCCACCCCCCCCCCAGCAUUUCCCCUAAUGGGGACUGGCUCUCGCUUCACCCCCAUGGGGUUCCUCUAAUAAGGACCAGCCUCCUACCCUGGUGAAGACCAAAGGCCUCCUCCAGUUUCUCACCAGCUUGCCUGCUACCACUUUGCCUUCUGGCCUCCAGCUGGGCCUGCAAGCAAGGUGGGGAACACCUCCUCAGUCUUCAAGGCCUAGUGAGAGACUUUGCCUCAAGGCCUCAGGGCCUACUGGGCCCCUGGGUAGGGCCUCCACAUAUACCUUACCCACUGAGGCACACAACUGCCCUGGCCUAUCAGAAGAUUUAUUUACAGGGAGACAAGCUUGCUGUCCCAGUUCCCAGCUCUUCCCGGUGUCCUGGUCCCCUCUGGAAGAGAAUGUAAAAUAAACGUGGGCACCAGGGA